AGCUUUGUUGUUUAAACAGCUUUGUUGUUUUUUUAGACGAGGCUUUCGCGCCAUUCAGAUCCGUCCCGCUGUUAUUCGCUCCAGUUGGUGGCUCAAACACUGCUUUGGUCAACCAUGUCAUUGCCAAGCAUCAUGGGAUAGAGGAUACGUCACAUUGUUUAAUUGUAUGCAUGAUGAGCAAAUGUCGAUCUCUUAAUUUUGACAAGUUGGAAAAAAUUUGCGAAGUCAAUGACGUCACCAAAGACGAAUAUCCGCGCGACUUGACAGCGAAGGCUGGGUUCCAGUAUUAUCAUCCGAUGAGACAGCCUUUGGUUGUUAACAAGGGACGUAAUUAGGUUGGUCUGAGAUUUUUACUUUUGAAAACCUAAACAGAAAAUGAGCUACAUUUAUUAUAACAACUUAAAUGUGAAUUUAUUAAAUUUGAAGGUGCAUGAAUUAAAUAAACAUAUUUAUCUAUCUUAAUUAAUAAGUAACUUUGUUUAUUAUUAAAAACAUAAUAUAAUAAAAAUAUGCAGUAAUAACCC
This is a non-coding RNA of Paramuricea clavata, 524 nucleotides long. The record is from the annotation of a GenBank genome assembly. NCBI's taxonomy places the organism in Eukaryota, Metazoa, Cnidaria, Anthozoa, Malacalcyonacea, Plexauridae.